RNAcentral lists this unclassified non-coding RNA (319 nucleotides) under Hevea brasiliensis (rubber tree). Lineage: Eukaryota; Viridiplantae; Streptophyta; Magnoliopsida; Malpighiales; Euphorbiaceae. The record is from RNAcentral.
GUUCAGGGUGUCAAUAACAGAUUUUAUCUGUUCAGUCAUCUGCUCUAGUUCCCUCCCUAUAAGCUCAGCUUGCUCAUACAUUGCAUCUCGAGUUGAUGCAGCUUCAUCAUCAAGAAGCAACCCACGCUCAUCCUUGUAAAUACGUUCAGCUUCCUCUUCCAUACUCUGCAAGGCCUUAUCAACCUCCUGUUGAUGGGUCUCAAUUAACUCCAAUUGCCGUUCCAAGUUAGCUUGUGUCUCAACCACUUUUGCCACCUCAAUCUCAAGCCUAAGAAGAACAUCACGAUUGUGCAAGAUUCUCUUAUCCCAUUCAGCUAUU